Molecule: ribosomal RNA, 253 nt
Filed under: uncultured bacterium
Lineage: Bacteria
Description: partial 16S ribosomal RNA
Rfam family: Bacterial small subunit ribosomal RNA
Source: RNAcentral
UACGUAGGUGGCAAGCGUUGUCCGGAUUUACUGGGCGUAAAGAGCGCGCAGGCGGUCGUUCAAGUCGCGUGUGAAAGCCCCCGGCUCAACUGGGGAGGGUCACGCGAUACUGAUCGACUCGAAGGCAGGAGAGGGUAGUGGGAUUCCCGGUGUAGUGGUGAAAUGCGUAGAUAUCGGGAGGAACACCAGUGGCGAAGGCGACUACCUGGCCUGUUCUUGACGCUGAGGCGCGAAAGCUAGGGGAGCAAACGGG